AUCAAUAUGUCUUCAGUCCAAGUGAGAAGUCAUAAAAAGAAAUAUUUACCCUAAAAGCUAAGAUAUGACAGCAAACGCCUUUAUUAUAGCUAUAUAUAAUUAUAACAAUUAGGGAUAUUUAGAAUCUAGUGGAUAAGGUGUCGGCUGCUAAGUUCAGGGUGGUGGGUUCGAGUCCCACUGGGGUAUCGGCCAUGGCUUCUUAGGUGGCACGUACAGUACCAGCUGGUAGGAACUACAUUUUGGACUAUUUUACUCCCUUUGCAGACGUUUUCCUUUUGCAUUCAUGACGGGAGAAUGGAGGAAAGUUCUUGUGCUGACUUUAGUAAAGGUUCUUGUGCUGAAUUUAGUAAAACAGAGGUAUAUUUUCAGAUUGUUUUGUGUUUUAUUAUUGGUAACAUAAUUACGUACAUAUAUCUCUACAGAAGUGAAAGUUAUUGUAGUUGAAGUUAACGCCUGAAAAUGCGGGUGUCUGCAUCCUCGAGGUAUUGAAUGAAUUAUGAAUUCUAUACUUUAAAUGAAUGCAGUGAAAUAGAAACAGUCAGCCAGUAGCAGGUGAAAGCUUAUUUAACGUCGCAAACAACACCAGCCACAAAGCUCUUUUGCGACAAACAAGAUAUUCAGUAGAUACUUGACUGUGCUUAUUUGACCGCCUGUUAAAGUCCUUUAAAUGCUGAUCAGUGCCAUUCUAGGAAGCUGUAAGUUCAUUUUUUCUUUGGUACGACGCGACCGGAGAUAGAGCCCCACUCCCUCACUUAUAGCCAACUUGUCAACCGAGCUGUUGAAACAUUUGUAUACAUACCAGGUAUUUUAAUAAAAUAACCUGGUUUUGCAAACAAUUGUCAUUUAUAUAUUCAGACCACCAGAGGAAGUGGUGAGAGACUGGCAAUGAUGUACUGAACGAGCAUGAUGGAAAGACAACAUAGUCAAAUGGGGACCACCAGAGGAAGUGGUGAGAGACUGGCAAUGAUGUACUGAACGAGCAUGGUGGAAAGACAACAUAGUCAAAUGGGGGUUUGUCAUAAGCCUAACUUGUGCAUAGCCUGCGUUGAUAGAGAGCCUUCAGGAUAUUUUCAUCUAUGUGACCUUACCGCCUGUAUAUUUUGUACACUACAUAUUUUUAAAAACAAUGUAGGAAGAAAUACUCUAAAUGUGGGAGUAAACUGAAGCUGUCAGAAACAUUUACAACUAUAAAGUAUUUGAUAUAUCAAUGUUAAGUUAUUGACAUCUUAUUUUUAUAUAACGUUGAACCAGCUAUAAAGAGUCAACCAUGGCUACAUCUUGUAUCUACUAAUUUACAGGACAUAAGGCAAUAUAUAUAAUGUUAAGUUUGUUUUUGAAUCAUAAUAUAUCAGGUGAACAAGAGUAAAAGUUGAGUAAAAGUC
Long non-coding RNA from Mercenaria mercenaria, 1382 nucleotides. RefSeq lists it as uncharacterized. The record is from RefSeq and is a predicted model, not a curated record. The transcript is spliced from 3 exons. Lineage: Eukaryota; Metazoa; Mollusca; Bivalvia; Venerida; Veneridae.